This 200-nucleotide ribosomal RNA is filed under the name uncultured bacterium. Its description in RNAcentral is "partial 16S ribosomal RNA". It matches the Rfam family "Bacterial small subunit ribosomal RNA", at positions 8 to 213 of the family's 1533-position model. The record is from RNAcentral.
AGAGUUUGAUCCUGGCUCAGAUUGAACGCUAGCGGCAUGCCUAACACAUGCAAGUCGAACGCUUUCAGAGGGUGGCAACACUUUCUGAGAGAGUGGCGGACGGGUGAGUAAUACGUAGGAAUCUCCCUCAUAGUGGGGGACAACCCGGGGAAACUCGGGCUAAUACCGCAUAAUCUCUACGGAGCAAAGGGGAGGAUCGA